CCCGACCACUCUGCCUUCAGAUACUCUUAGUAAUAAGCUGUGGUUAUCCAGCAAACCACCCCCCGCCCCCGCCUCUGCCACCCUUGUUAAAAGAAACAGUAGAAAGUGGAAUUGGCGAUGAGAUUCGGAAAAUUCUGGUAGAAAAGAAGAUGAAAAGGGAAUGGAGUUUAGGGAGAAAGGCAAGAUCUUUGUUGGGAAUUUACCACCGUGGAUAAAGAAAAAUGAGGUGGCGGAGUUUUUCAGGUAGUUUGGGCCUAUGAAGAAUGCGAUUUUGAUAAAGGGCCAUGAUGAUUGUGAGAGAAACAUGGGGUCUGGGUUUGUGAUUUAUAGUGGGCCCACGGGAUGCAAUGAAGGCUGUAGAGUUCGAUGGGGUUGAGUUUCAUGGGGUGUUAUUGACUGUGAAGAUAGAUGAUGGGAGACGGAUGAAGGCAAAAACUGAGGGGAGGGCCAGGUGGGUUGAAGGCAAGGUAGGGAAUGGGGAUGAGUAUAUGUCUAAGUGGCAUGAAGAGAGAGAGAGGGCUCGAUAAGGGAGUUCCGGAAGGUUCUGGAGACUCAUCCCGAGAAUUGGCAUGCAGUUGUGCGAAUGUUUGAGAGGAUUAAAAAGGUACUUGUAUAAUUAUAUAAAUGCCCUGGUAGUGGCUGCUUGUGAUUGAUGUCAAGUUCGUUUAGUUAUAUAAAGGUUGAA
This 685-nucleotide long non-coding RNA is filed under the name Olea europaea subsp. europaea. The record is from RNAcentral. Lineage: Eukaryota; Viridiplantae; Streptophyta; Magnoliopsida; Lamiales; Oleaceae.